UACAGAGGUCCCGAGCGUUGUUCGGAUUCACUGGGCGUAAAGGGUGCGUAGGUGGCAUGGCAAGUUUGAUGUGAAAGCUCAGGGCUUAACCCUGAAAUGGCAUUGAAUACUGCCGUGCUGGAGGUUUGGAGGGGGGACUGGAAUUCUUGGUGUAGCAGUGAAAUGCGUAGAUAUCAAGAGGAACACCAGUGGCGAAGGCGAGUCCCUGGACAACACCUGACACUGAGGCACGAAAGCUAGGGGAGCAAACGGG
This 253-nucleotide ribosomal RNA is filed under the name uncultured bacterium. Its description in RNAcentral is "partial 16S ribosomal RNA". It matches the Rfam family "Bacterial small subunit ribosomal RNA", at positions 524 to 776 of the family's 1533-position model. The record is from RNAcentral.